GAGACUUAAAGACGAGCAGGCAGACAGGCAUCCAUCCAGCUGCAGUUCAUAGCCGAUGCCCCCGACAAGUAGCAGGCUGGCGACUGAGAAGCUCCCCAGAAGCUACCUUUAAUGCCCAAAGAUUGAUUUAGGCAAUGACACUGCAAUGUACGGAAGGGGAAAAAGGGACGAGAGGAAGGUAUCAAAAAGAGGGAGAUUAUUUCAAUAUUAACUUGAGUGCAGGCAUAAUUCGCUCUCAUUUCUGGCAGGCAAUUGAGCACUCUGCUUCAUAUGCAAAAUCGAGGGUACAUUCUGAUGUAGAUUUCAGAUAGCGGGAAAUGAAGGUAUUUUGUUUUUCUUUUAAAUUGCAUUGGGCAAUUUCCUUUCUUAUAUGAAACGCUGUAGGCUUUGUACAAUUAUUUUAUACGUUAUUACCAUUCUUCUAAAAAGGGACAGCUUUUUUCUUUCCAAUUUAAAGUAGUGGAUAAUGACUUUGGCAGCAUUUUCCUGCCUUUUUCAAGUUUAUGGAACCCAUUCCUCAUCAUUAGGCUGAAGAUGCAGAUAAGAAAGGACGAGCCUUUUUCUGGAGCUUGUCACAUCAAUGUUGCUUCUUAGGUGAUUAAAAAGAAAGCAGCGAGGAUCUUGGAGAAAACGUCUGACAAAAGUUGGAAAAUCCCCACUGAAUGAAUUUUUUUGAAAAAGUAAAUGUAUCCUGGGAACAUGCCGUUCAGGAUUUUGGAAAAGGAACUUCAAACGAAAUUGAAGGAGACAUGCAUACAAGGAGAAUGCCAGGUGAACGUGAAGACCAUCAUUUGCAAGCCAAGAGAGGCCUGGAGCAGAUCCUUCAGAGCCCUCAGAAGGGACCAACCCUGCUGGCACCUUGAUUUUGGACUUCCAGCCUCCAGAACUAAGAACUUGAUGUAUACCUCCUGACCUGUUCAUCUUGUAGCUGCCUCUUGACAGGUUGCUGACUUCGCCUGGAGGGACUCUAUCAGAUGGAAUCUCCCUCUGUCAUCCCGGCUGGAGUGCAAUGGUGCGUUCUUGGCUCACUGCAACCUCUAUCUCGCAGGCUCAAGUAAUCCUCCCACUUCAGCCUAUUGAGUAACUGGGACCACAGGUGCACACCAUCAUGCCAGGAGAAACAAAUGCCAAACAGUGAAGGUCAAGAAGGCCAUAGUGAUAUAUGCAAGUUCAAAAAGUGGAAGAAGCUUUUACACAGAGAAAUAUCAAUCAGCCAGCUUUUCAUGGCUGAUGCCUGAAAAUAUCAUCCACCUGUGUCUCUGAGCAUACUUUGGCUUUGACUCCUAGUGAUAUUACAUGUAAUGUCAUGGCUAGAUAUUUCAAUUUCAGAAACAAAUGAUUCCACUGAAUAGUAAGACAUUUGCCAACUGGACAAUAAUUCAUAAGGAGAGGGUUCAGAAACUGUAAGUUUUAUUAUGAAAAGGUAAGGAAAUCCAACCCUAGAUGGAGGUAACUUGGAAAGAAUGAUUGGUUAUUUUGUAUAACUCUAAAGGGCAUAACUAGGACUAACAAGUCAAAGCUUUCAGGAAGAAAAUUUCUAUAUAAUGUGCAGAAAUUUCAAACAGUUGAUCAGUUGCUUUUGUUAUUAUUGUUAGAGACAGGAUCUCACUAUGUUGCCCAGGCUUGAUUCUAACCUCCCCCACUGCCAACCCCCCGGCUCAAGCAAUCCUACUGCCUUAGCCUCUUGAGUAGCUGGGACUACGGGCACACACACACACACCACUGCACCAGGUAAAUUUCUAACAACUCAAAGUGUUAUAAAGGAAUAGGUCGCCUAGUAGCAUGGUCAGCGGUGUCUGUAAGACUUCUCGUCAGUCAGGCUGCGGUAUGGGAUUGAAGUGGAAGAUCACUAAGAAAUGGAGGGAAUGAAUUUCAGAAUGGGUGGGGGGUUUCAGGGUGUUGGGUCAAUAGCUGUCUUAUCAAUGGAGCUGAGAAUGAAAACCUAGGAAAAGUGACACUGGCUCUAGAAGGGAACUGGGCCAUCUGCCUUAUAGACCAUCUGCUAAUUUGUUGCUCAUUUAUUGGUGAAACUUGGGAAGGUAAUGGAUAUGUAUGAGCUCUCUCAGAACUUGCCUUGUUGCCUAAUGGAUAUCUUUGACUUUUCCAACUCCAAGUAUCUGUAAAAGUUCCUAAUUUCCUCAUAGACUUGUAAAACCACUCAAACCCACCAGGCCCUUAUUCUGUUUCCAAGAUCACCUUUCAGGUGUCACCGUGUUGACAAGUUAUUUGGAGCUCUAUUGACCUUGUCUCAUUAUUGGAACUUUUCUAAUAUCUUGAAUGCAGAUGGAAGGAAAGGAGACAAUAACAACAAAAAAUAAAACUGCAACAGCAUGAUUUAUUAUAGUAUAUAUUUCUCAGAAGAGACAAAAACAGCAUCAAUGAAGAGCAAUCAUAGAAGGUUCACAGUUGCCUCAGAACCAAUUCAACAAUUCAUAGGGGGUUGGCAUCACAUAAACAGCUGGGAAAAAGCAGUUAAAUGAUUUUCUACAUGCUCUUAGGGAGAGACUGUGUCUAAUCUGAUGCAGUUGCUCCAAAGGAGCGCAGCUAAUGACAUCUACACCAA
Long non-coding RNA from Homo sapiens (human), 2563 nucleotides. The record is from Ensembl. Lineage: Eukaryota; Metazoa; Chordata; Mammalia; Primates; Hominidae.